RNAcentral lists this microRNA precursor (106 nucleotides) under Oryzias latipes (Japanese medaka). RNAcentral describes it as "microRNA ola-mir-18 precursor (ola-mir-18-1)". Its record names the gene ola-mir-18-1. The stretch from base 14 to 95 matches the Rfam family "mir-17 microRNA precursor family". Rfam says of the family: This family represents the microRNA (miRNA) precursor mir-17, family, which includes mir-20, mir-91, and mir-103. miRNAs are transcribed as ~70nt precursors (modelled here) and subsequently processed by the Dicer enzyme to give a ~22nt product. In this case the mature sequence comes from the 3' arm of the precursor. RNAcentral also lists the same sequence under 2 other names. The record is from miRBase by way of RNAcentral. Lineage: Eukaryota; Metazoa; Chordata; Actinopteri; Beloniformes; Adrianichthyidae.
CAUACGAUGUACUGUCUUUGUGCUAAGGUGCAUCUAGUGCAGAUAGUGAAAUAGACUAGCACCUACUGCCCUAAGUGCUCCUUCUGGCAUAAGGGGCUGUAAUAUG